RNAcentral lists this ribosomal RNA (447 nucleotides) under uncultured bacterium. RNAcentral's name for it is "SSU rRNA". It matches the Rfam family "Bacterial small subunit ribosomal RNA", at positions 26 to 518 of the family's 1533-position model. The record is from RNAcentral.
AGAGCGAACGCUGGCGGCAGGCCUAAUACAUGCAAGUCGAACGGAUCCUUCGGGAUUAGUGGCGGACGGGUGAGUAACACGUGGGAACGUACCCUUUGGUUCGGAACAACUCAGGGAAACUUGAGCUAAUACCGAAUGUGCCCUUCGGGGGAAAGAUUUAUCGCCAUUGGAGCGGCCCGCGUCUGAUUAGCUAGUUGGUAGGGUAAAGGCCUACCAAGGCUACGAUCAGUAGCUGGUCUGAGAGGAUGAUCAGCCACACUGGGACUGAGACACGGCCCAGACUCCUACGGGAGGCAGCAGUAGGGAAUCUUGCGCAAUGGGCGAAAGCCUGACGCAGCCAUGCCGCGUGAAUGAUGAAGGUCUUAGGAUUGUAAAAUUCUUUCAGCGGGGACGAUAAUGACGGUACCCGCAGGAAGAAGCCCCGGCUAACUUCGUGCCAGCAGCCGC